Acidobacteriales bacterium 13_2_20CM_55_8 is the source of this 44-nucleotide non-coding RNA. NCBI's taxonomy places the organism in Bacteria, Pseudomonadati, Acidobacteriota, Terriglobia, Terriglobales. The record is from Rfam.
CCCAGGGCUUGCGCCCUGGGCUAAAUUAUUUCGCCCUCCGGGCU